GAUAAACGCUGGCGGCGUGCAUGAGACAUGCAAGUCGAACGAAGGAUCGGGCUUGCUCGAUCCUUAGUGGCGGACGGCUGAGUAACGCGUAGGUGACCUACCCCGAAGUGGGGAAUAACUGCCCGAAAGGGUGGCUAAAACCGCAUGUGGUCGCACGUUCAUUCGUGCGAGUAAAGCCGCAAGGCGCUUCGGGAGGGGCCUGCGUCCGAUUAGCUCGUUGGUGGGGUAAUGGCUUACCAAGGCGACGAUCGGUAGGUGGUCUGAGAGGACGAUCACCCAGACUGGGACUGAGACACGGCCCAGACUCCUACGGGAGGCAGCAGUCGGGAAUUUUGCUCAAUGGGGGAAACCCUGAAGCAGCAACGCCGCGUGAGGGAUGAAGGCCUUCGGGUUGUAAACCUCUUUUGUCAGGGACGAUGAUGACGGUACCUGGCGAAUAAGCCACGGCUAACUACGUG
RNAcentral lists this ribosomal RNA (458 nucleotides) under uncultured bacterium. RNAcentral describes it as "partial 16S ribosomal RNA". It matches the Rfam family "Bacterial small subunit ribosomal RNA", at positions 28 to 507 of the family's 1533-position model. The record is from RNAcentral.